This 1310-nucleotide long non-coding RNA is filed under the name Equus asinus (donkey). Its description in RNAcentral is "lncRNA (ENSEASG00005025932.1)". Lineage: Eukaryota; Metazoa; Chordata; Mammalia; Perissodactyla; Equidae. The record is from RNAcentral.
CGAGACCGGGGGCCGGAGCUGCGGCGCGGGCGGGGCUCCAGAUCGGACCCCUGCGGCCUGCGCUCUCCUCGGCGCUUGCUCCUCGGCCGCUUCGCCGUCUGAAGCAGAGGCGAAAACCGUGCACGGUAAUUGGGACACACAGAUCCCUGGGCGCGAAGCGGGGCAAAGCCCCGGGGAGCUCAGGGACAGGCAGUAGCAUGCGGGGACCACAGCUGGAGAGGCUCCUCACUGCUCCAGAGAACCCAAACACCAGGACACCCACCAAUUUCCUUCCCCCAAAUUUCUCCAGACCCUCAUCCACGCUGCAGGGUCCGCCUGGUGGCGGUAACGCCCCGCUCCUGCAGCAACACAGGCCGGUCCCAGAGCGAGCCUGCCCGUCAAAGAGGACGACAUUACUACACGUAUCUAACUCGGAGGUUGUCGGAGGGCUGAGCCAGUCCGCGCGCAGCGGGCCACACGGGGGCGGUGAGGAAGUGCAGCACCUUAGCCGGUGUGCGCGGACCAGGAGGUUCCGGGGGUUCGGGACACCUGCACCUUGUGCGCAGGACUACUUUUGGUCAUUUGUCAAAGCUGACCGGUCACGUCUACAGUCUCCUGCUCUGUACUCACAUCUCAAGCCGCUGUCCUUUCAGCACGGUGCUGGGGAGGCAGGAUUCUGGAACUGGAUUACCCAGAUUCAAGUCUCAGCCUCUGCCAUUGGCUGAGGAGCCUCGGGUAAGUCAUUGAGCUUCUAUGUCCCCCAGUUUCCUCAUCUGUAAAGCAGGGAUAAUAAUAUGUGUUCAUAAGUAUAUGUUUGUUGCUAAUAAUAUAAGUAUGUAAGUAAUAAGUAUAUGUUUGUUAUGAGAAUUGAGUUAAUAUAUGUAAAGAAUUCAGAACAGUGUUUGGCACCUAAAAAGUAUUACAUAAGUGUUGGUUACUGUCUUUUGUGACUGAUAUAUAUAUAUUUUUUAUUGAAAUCAAAUUCACAUAACAUCAAAUUAACCAUUUAAAAAUGUACAGUGAAGUAGCACUUAUUAUGUUCACAAUGUUGUGAACUCAAUCUAGUUCCAAGAUAUUUUGAUCACUCACGAGGGAGACCACAUACCCGUUAAGCAGUCACUUCCCAUUCUUUCCUCCCCCCAGCCCCUGGCACACAUCAAUCUGCUUUUUGUCUCUAUAAAUUUAACUGUUCUGGAUAUUCAUAUAAACAGAAUCACAAUAUAUGACCUUUUAUGUGUGGAUUCUUUCAUUUAGCAUGAUGUUUUCAAAGUUCAUUCACAUUAGAGCAUGUGUUAGUACUAGAUUCCUUUGUAUGGCUGAAUAACAUGUCG